Molecule: transfer RNA, 72 nt
Filed under: Homopholis fasciata
Lineage: Eukaryota; Metazoa; Chordata; Lepidosauria; Squamata; Gekkonidae
Description: tRNA-Asn
Source: RNAcentral
UAGGUUAAUGCUCGCUGGAUAGAGUGUUUGGUUGUUAACCAAGAUUUUACGRGAUCAAGGGCCGUUGACCUA